AACGCACAUUGCGCCCGCUGGUAUUCCGGCGGGCAUGCCUGUUCGAGCGUCAUUAUGACCAAUCAAGCUCUGCUUGGUUUUGUGGUCCGCUAUACCAGCGGCCUUUAAAAUCAGUGGCGGUGCCGUCUGGCUCUAAGCGUAGUAAUACUUCUCGCUAUAGAGUUUUAGACGUCCACCCGUCAGAAUCUUCAACUUUCUUAGGUUGACCUCGGAUCAGGUAGGGAUACCCGCUGAACUUAA
RNAcentral lists this unclassified non-coding RNA (240 nucleotides) under uncultured fungus. Its description in RNAcentral is "sequence contains ITS2". The stretch from base 1 to 52 matches the Rfam family "5.8S ribosomal RNA", at positions 103 to 154 of the family's 154-position model. The record is from RNAcentral. Lineage: Eukaryota; Fungi.